AGCAGCCGCGGUAAUUCCAGCUCCAAUAGCGUAUAUUAAAGUUGUUGCAGUUAAAAAGACUCGUAGUUGAAUUUCGGGAUUAGUACGCUGGUCGUGCCUUUGGUAUGUACUGGUGUUACUGGUUCCUACCUUCUGACGAACCGUCAUGUCAUUAAUUUGGUGUGGCGGGGAAUCAGGACUGUUACUUUGAAAAAAUUAGAGUAGUUUAAAGCAGGCUCGCGCUUGAAUACAUUAGCAUGGAAUAAUGAAAUAGGACGUUCGAUCCUAUUUUGUUGGUUUCUAGGAUUGACGUAAUGAUUAAUAGGGAUAGUUGGGGGCAUUAGUAUUCAAUUGUCAGAGGUGAAAUUCUUGGAUUU
Molecule: ribosomal RNA, 356 nt
Filed under: uncultured Glomeromycotina
Lineage: Eukaryota; Fungi; Glomeromycota
Description: SSU rRNA
Rfam family: Eukaryotic small subunit ribosomal RNA
Source: RNAcentral